GUGCUCGCUUCGGCAGCACAUAUGAUACAGAGAAGAUUAGCAUGACCCCUGCGCAAGGAUGACAGGCAAAUUCGUGACGUCUUCCAUAUUUAA
This 93-nucleotide small nuclear RNA is filed under the name Microtus ochrogaster (prairie vole). The record is from RNAcentral. Lineage: Eukaryota; Metazoa; Chordata; Mammalia; Rodentia; Cricetidae.